UGGGGAAUAUUGGACAAUGGGCGCAAGCCUGAUCCAGCCAUGCCGCGUGUGUGAAGAAGGCCUUAGGGUUGUAAAGCACUUUCAGUGGGGAGAAAGGUUAUUCACCUAAUACGUGAGUAAAUUGAUGUUACCCACAGAAGAAGCACCGGCUAACUCCGUGCCAGCAGCCGCGGUAAUACGGAGGGUGCAAGCGUUAAUCGGAAUUACUGGGCGUAAAGCGUACGUAGGUGGUUUGUUAAGCCAGCUGUGAAAUCCCCGGGCUCAACCUGGGCACUGCAGUUGGAAGUGGCAAGCUAGAGUAGGGUAGAGGGGUGUGGAAUUCCAGGUGUAGCGGUGAAAUGCGUAGAUAUCUGGAGGAACAUCAGUGGCGAAGGCGACACCCUGGACUCAUACUGACACUGAGGUACGAAAGCGUGGGGAGCAA
This 424-nucleotide ribosomal RNA is filed under the name uncultured bacterium. Its description in RNAcentral is "bacterial SSU rRNA". It matches the Rfam family "Bacterial small subunit ribosomal RNA", at positions 355 to 771 of the family's 1533-position model. The record is from RNAcentral.